GGCACUCAAUCUUCAGAUGGUUCUCGAUGGUGCGCCCAAGGGAUGAAAAGGGAAUACGGUGCGGUUCGCCAAUUGGCGCCAAAUCCGUGACUGCCCCCGCAACUGUAAGCGGCAAGCGACGCCAAACAGCCACUGGCCCCAGUGCCGGGAAGGAUGGCCAAGCGACGACCCGCAAGUCAGGAGACCUGCCAUCAUUUGUUUAACCAA
Molecule: non-coding RNA, 207 nt
Filed under: Ruegeria meonggei
Lineage: Bacteria; Pseudomonadati; Pseudomonadota; Alphaproteobacteria; Rhodobacterales; Roseobacteraceae
Source: RNAcentral